Molecule: ribosomal RNA, 706 nt
Filed under: uncultured bacterium
Lineage: Bacteria
Description: bacterial SSU rRNA
Rfam family: Bacterial small subunit ribosomal RNA
Source: RNAcentral
AGUCGCACGAGAACGCCCCGACUUUUGUCGGGGCAAGUACAGUGGCGGACGGGUGCGUAACGCGUAGAUAACCUGCCCUCAGGCGCGGGACAACCACGGGAAACCGUGGCUAAUACCGCACGUCGUCUGGACCCCGCAUGGGGACCAGAUGAAACCCCGACUUUUGUCGGGGGCCUUUGGAUGGGUCUGCGUCGGAUUAGCUUGUUGGUGAGGUAACGGCUCACCAAGGUGACGAUCCGUAGCUGGUCUGAGAGGACGAUCAGUCACACUGGGACUGAGACACGGCCCAGACUCCUACGGGAGGCAGCAGUGGGGAAUCUUGCACAAUGGGGGCAACCCUGAUGCAGCCAUGCCGCGUGGAGGAAGACACCCCUAUGGGGCGUAAACUCCUUUUCUGAGAGAAGAAACCCCUGUAGGUUCAGGGUGUGACGGUAUCUCAGGAAUAAGCACCGGCUAACUCCGUGCCAGCAGCCGCGGUAAUACGGAGGGUGCAAGCGUUGUCCGGAAUCACUGGGCGUAAAGGGUGCGCAGGCGGGGCAGCAAGUCGGAGGUGAAAGCCCAUGGCUCAACCAUGGAAGUGCCUUCGAAACUGUUGCUCUUGAGUCCCGGAGAGGCUGCCGGAAUUCGUGGUGUAGCGGUGAAAUGCGUAGAGAUCACGAGGAACACCAGAGGCGAAAGCGGGCAGCUGGACGGGUUACUGACGCUC